This is a long non-coding RNA of Bos taurus (domestic cattle), 1509 nucleotides long. The record is from Ensembl. Lineage: Eukaryota; Metazoa; Chordata; Mammalia; Artiodactyla; Bovidae.
GCCGCACAGGAGGCGGCGGGCCCCGCCGGCCCCGCGCGCAGCCGCUGGGUCCUAAAGCCCUUUUCUCGACGCUUCUGUGGAAAACCUUCACAUCCCUUCAAAAAUCUGCAGCCCCGCGGGACCCGGAAUUGGGAUCAGGAUGCCUUUCCAGCCCGGGCUCUGUUUUCUGGACCUAAAUAACGCCGAAUCCCUCAAAGGAUCAGCGUUUCCGGUCACUUAAAAAAAACAAGCAGAGCCCGCAGAUGCUUUUCAAAGUGCAAGUAUAUCGUCACGCACCCGGAAUGUACCUUUUCAUCCGACCAAUGCCAGGCCCAUUCUCUAAAAGGAUUACUAAUAUCUAUUUAUAGCACCCAGCAGGUCAUCAUGUUCUGGAUCAAGAUACACACACUGUCACAAGUACAGAAGAGGCAGCCACACUCCAUAAACUAUUCAUUUGAUAUUUUAUUUGACACCAUCUUAACUUUUAAAGGAAAAAUUAACUUGUAGCUUAAAAUUAUGUUAGAGCACACUCAAUAUUUAGCAUUAGAUUUUAUUUUUAAGGCAAAGGAUUAUCACAGGUUUUAUAUUAAGUAGACUGUACAUAAACAGGCAGGGGGUGAUAAGCCAAUAAAUAACAUUGCUUUAAACACUAUAGAGUCCAGUUUAUGGCAUAUUAUUUUCUAACAGUACAAAACUAAUACAGAAAAUACAUUUGAAAGAUCACAGUGUUCAGAACAUUGUAUAACAGCAGUUUUAAAGACAGUAAGGUGCAUCUCUAAGCUUCUGACUCAACCCUGCUUCCAGAGAAUUCAUUAUACCAUGCACUGGCUGUAAGCAAAUCCCCCACACGAAGGGGAGGCGACAUCAACUGACCUGUAGCACUUCCCCCGCCAGGAACAACCAAGAACAAAAGCUAAAAUCCGAUGAGCAUUGAUUGGCAAGUUGAUCCUGUUCAGCCAGGCAGCAGCUAACUUGCCCCAGUGACCAUGUCUUUGUGUAUUAAGUGUUUGCCAUUUUGUCCUUGAGAAUGUAUGCAUUCGAGCUUGUGAUUGCUAGUUUCUUUGUCAAAUACCUAAAUGGAUUGUGACUAAAGAUCAAUUGAAUGUCAUGUAUUGCAUUAUACUUUCUUGCUCUGACUGAAAUACCCAUUAUUUUCUUGAAAUAUUAAGUACAGAAUAACAGAGUUCUAGAAAGUGAUUUUUUUGGCAUAAUAAUAUGUAAUAUACCAGAAUACUUGAUAACUUGGUUUUAUUAUAAAAUACAGUACUACAACAUUUUGUGAUAUAGCAAAAUAUCUGACACAAUGUUCUGCUCUAAUUUAGAUGUAACUGCUACAAAUACGUCUUUGAAAGCGCCUCAAAGUACCCCUAAAGGAAUAUAAUAAUUAGCAAUGAGUUGUAGAACCUUUUUUGGCAAAAAGAAAAAAAAAGGCAUUUUUUAAUAAGUCUCUCAUUUUGUGUGCAAGGCUUUCAAAAUUUUAGUUAUAUACAACAUAUAACUGGUGUUGGAUUUAAUGCUAUUGGAAAUUAG